RNAcentral lists this long non-coding RNA (285 nucleotides) under Zea mays. Its description in RNAcentral is "long non-coding RNA (ZMAY_LNC000728)". Lineage: Eukaryota; Viridiplantae; Streptophyta; Magnoliopsida; Poales; Poaceae. The record is from RNAcentral.
AGCUAAAGUUAAAUUGUAAUUUACGGCGGCAAUGAAAAUUUUCCUCCUGCCCGGGGAUCCGCCCCGGGAUAUACAGCUCUCUGGUUAUGCAUAUGCCCUACACGUAUAUGUACAGGCUCGGCAACUCUAUUGCCUCGCGCAGUCUGCCACUAGUAUUUCACUCUCAGUAAUCGCACGACUAACACUGCUGCAUCAUGAAACUUCUGCGCAGCAAAAAUUAGACUAGUAGAUGCUGGGGUGGCUCCCCCUCCCCCUCACAUCAUAUUACAUCAGGCGGCGCUGCAG